GUGCUCACUUUAGCAACACAUAUAAUAAAAGAGGAACAAUAGAGAAGGUUAGCAUGGCCCCUGUGCAAGGAUGACAUGCAAAUUUGUGAAGCAUUCCAUAUUUUU
Nycticebus coucang (slow loris) is the source of this 105-nucleotide small nuclear RNA. The record is from RefSeq and is a predicted model, not a curated record. Lineage: Eukaryota; Metazoa; Chordata; Mammalia; Primates; Lorisidae.